UACGGAGGGUGCAAGCGUUAAUCGGAAUUACUGGGCGUAAAGCGCACGCAGGCGGUCUGUCAAGUCGGAUGUGAAAUUCCCGGGCUCAACCUGGGAACUGCAUCCGAAACUGGCAGGCUAGAGUCUUGUAGAUGGGGGUAGAAUUCCAGGUGUAGCGGUGAAAUGCGUAGAGAUCUGGAGGAAUACCGGUGGCGAAGGCGGCCCCCUGGACACAGACUGACGCUCAGGUGCGAAAGCGUGGGGAGCAAACAGG
Molecule: ribosomal RNA, 253 nt
Filed under: uncultured bacterium
Lineage: Bacteria
Description: partial 16S ribosomal RNA
Rfam family: Bacterial small subunit ribosomal RNA
Source: RNAcentral